GUAGGUGAACCUGCGGAUGGAUCAUUGACGAACGUUCGAACCGCGCUGCCUCGGUAGUGCUGCUUCGAUCGGGAAAACAUAUCCACCCCCUCGCACCGCGCGCCGGUCCCCGCUUCUUCUCGAAGGAGCGUCGUCGGCCGCGAAGGCGAACCCACUUGCGAAGUCCCGUCCGCGCGGUUUUCAAACUCCGCGCGGAGGGCCGGCGUCUCUCCGGACACGUCGCGGUUCUGAGAUCUGAUCAGACCGCGACGGACUCGGUGGUGCGUCGACUCCAAAAGUCCCCCGUCGCCUUUCCCGGGCGCGGCGGGGGCCGGCGCGAGCAGACUGCGCGGCGUAAUGCCGCAGCAGAUAGCCCGUUCUUCAAAGCCGUUUGUUUUUUAUCCACACUGGUUGCGUGUAAAAACACUUGCUCACCGUCGCAACGUCCUCCAGGCUGCCUGGCCGGGGACCGCGAGACGUGACCAAAAAAACAUUGAUUUUCACUACUCUAUGCGGUGGAUCACUCGGCUCGUGCGUCGAUGAAGAGCGCAGCCAGCUGCGUGAAUUAAUGUGAAUUGCAGGACACAUUGAACAUCGACACCUUGAACGCACAUUGCGGCUUCGGGUCACUCCCGGAGCCACGCCUGUCCGAGGGUCGGCAAACUGUCAUCGCCGAGCUCCCGCUCUCCACGGAGGGCGCGUCGCUCGGCGCGUUGGGUGGUUCGCGCGCGUCUAUCUAGGUAGUCGCGCCCGUCCGCCGCACAGCUCAGCCGACGGGACGCGAGGGGAGACGCGGCCAGCACUGGCCCUCUCCAAUUUCAACCUCUCGUCCCAUCUGAUCUCCGCGAGCCCCCGGCGCGAGGAGACGUGGCGCGGAAACGUAUGCCCGUUCCUAGCACUAAAAUGGCGGGGCUCGCACUCCGACCUCGGAUCAGACGAGACUACCCGCUGAACUUAAGCAUAUCAGUAAGCGGAGGAAAAGAAACUAACAAGGAUUCCCCUAGUAACGGCGAGUGAAGCGG
This 1001-nucleotide ribosomal RNA is filed under the name Macoma balthica. RNAcentral describes it as "eukaryotic LSU rRNA". The stretch from base 484 to 637 matches the Rfam family "5.8S ribosomal RNA". The record is from RNAcentral. Lineage: Eukaryota; Metazoa; Mollusca; Bivalvia; Cardiida; Tellinidae.